This 64-nucleotide non-coding RNA is filed under the name unclassified sequences. RNAcentral's name for it is "pemK RNA". It matches the Rfam family "pemK RNA". The record is from RNAcentral.
AAAAAGGUACUUCUGUAACACGCAGCCCGGCCGCAGAGAAGGCGGGUGGCUGAAACGCCAAUGG